RNAcentral lists this ribosomal RNA (659 nucleotides) under Clausocalanus ingens. Its description in RNAcentral is "SSU rRNA". It matches the Rfam family "Eukaryotic small subunit ribosomal RNA", at positions 26 to 683 of the family's 1831-position model. Lineage: Eukaryota; Metazoa; Arthropoda; Copepoda; Calanoida; Clausocalanidae. The record is from RNAcentral.
AUAUGCUGGUCUCAAAGAUUAAGCCAUGCAUGUCUAAGUACAAGCCUCACUAAGGUGAAACCGCGAAUGGCUCAUUAAAUCACACCUAAUCUACUGGAUAGUUAACAGUUACUUGGAUAACUGCGGUAAUUCUGGAGCUAAUACAUGCACAAAGCCCCGAACCUACGUGAGGGGCGCUUUUAUUAGAUCAAAACCAAACGGCUUCGGCUGUACUCUUGGUGACUCUGAAUAACUUUGGGCUGAUCGUACGGCCUAGCGCCGACGACAUAUCCUUCGAAGGUGUGCCCUAUCAACUGUCGACUGUGGCAUAGACGCCCACAGUGGUUUUGACGGGUAACGGGGAAUCAGGGUUCGAUUCCGGAGAGGGAGCCUUAAAAACGGCUACCACAUCUAAGGAAGGCAGCAGGCACGCAAAUUACCCAAUGACCGAAGGUCGAGGUAGUGACAAAAAAUAACGAUACGGGACUCAUCUGAGGCCCCGUAAUCGGAAUGAGUACACUUUAAAACCGUCCCCGAGGAUCUAUUGGAGGGCAAGUCUGGUGCCAGCAGCCGCGGUAAUUCCAGCUCCAAUAGCGUAUAUUAAAGUUGUUGUGGUUAAAAAGCUCGUAGUUGGAUCUCGGCGGUCUGAGGGCGGUUCGCUCGAUUGAGUGCUACUGCUC